This is a long non-coding RNA of Pogona vitticeps (central bearded dragon), 1313 nucleotides long. RefSeq lists it as uncharacterized. NCBI's taxonomy places the organism in Eukaryota, Metazoa, Chordata, Lepidosauria, Squamata, Agamidae. The record is from RefSeq and is a predicted model, not a curated record.
ACCCUAUCCAUUUGACAUCUUAAUGUCACAGCCACUUUUGGUAUACUUACUUACUUUGCUAUGGGUAAAAUAUGUGUGUAUGUGUGUGUGUGUAUCUGUGUAUUCAAGGGAUGGCGAGAAAAUGGGUUGUUUUGGAAAUGACAACUCAGACCUCAGCCCUUUCAAAACCAAAGAGUUCGGGCCACCCUCAUAGGAAAACAGUUCUUCAGAGGAAGAAAAGGCUCCUGCUUCGUCACCCAACACUCUGGAGGAAAAGCAUCUUAACGGAACUGCCUGCUCUACAAAACUUCCUAAAAUUAGAGGACACUCUCCAUGCCAUGCAUGUCUGUCUAGCUCGUUAUUCUUCAGGUGGAAAAAGGACCCAAUCCAGCAGGAAGUUCUCCUGGUCAGUGAAAGAAGGACUGCAUCUGAAAGCACAUCCACUGGGAAACUUUCCAAUGACAUCUCACCAACAUCAAAAGUAACUAGACCAUAAAUAAAUAAAUGAAGAAAAAUAAAUAAAUGAAGAAAAAAGCCAUCACUGGACACAAUUUCGUACUAUUGAGUAAGAUUAUUUUUAAUUAUUCUUUUCCUUCUCUCUACGCAUAGUAAUCACAUAAUACGAAUAAAAAGGCUUGGCCAACUAUUAAAUUAUUUGUUAUCCAUCAUAUACAUUGUCAUUGUUUUUAACUCAAUACAAUAUUAAUAUCAGAUGAUCUAGUGACAGCAAUAAGGAAGUGGUCCAUUGUCCAACAUGUAAAAAUAUACACCAACAAAAACAAACAAGCAAAAAAAAAAAAUACAGCACCGGUAACCAGACGUAGAGGCACAAACCUACGGAGAGGGGAGGAGAAGAGAAAGACAGAAGUGCCUAGAAUUAUGUACAACAGUUAUAUUAUGCUAAAUGCUGCGUUCCCUUCAUACAUUUGGACUUUCAUGUUUUCUAAGGAAAAGUGCUAACCACGUCCACAUUUUCACUUCAAAUACCUUUUUUUUAAAAAAAAAUUACAUCAAGGACAAAGAAACAAAACAAAGAAAAACAAAAACACCUUCCUUUAAACAAGACCAUUUACAAAUACUUGACUAUUUGAAGACCCACAUAGCAAAACAUUUUUCUAUGUUUGAUUCUAAAGAGACAUUUAAUAGGUAGAUUUAUUAUCCUGUUUUGUUGUACAAAAACAAAAAAGGAGAGAAAUGUUAAUAUAGGUAGUUUUCCAAGUGUCAAGCAACAGAAGAAGUCGCCUCCUCUGUUUGCCCAGUUGUUUCUGUUUCAUUUCUUGCUUAAUAUACAGUCUUUAUUUCUUUGCUUCUUAAAUUUCCGGUUCUUCCUUUCA